UUGGUUUUUGUGACGUGCGUUUCUGCGGCUCGUGGAAACGCCCCGGAGCUCCGGGAGGCAUCGGCGACGGCGCAGCCUGGGACGGCCAGGCGCGGGCGGGAAGCUGGGCGCUCGGGGCCUGCAGUGGCUGGCGGGGAGAAGCGCGCAUCCCCGCCCAGCCUACGGCGUGGAAUCGAGGUACUUGCAGUUCUGCGAAGAAGUGGAGCGUCCC
This 211-nucleotide long non-coding RNA is filed under the name Chinchilla lanigera (long-tailed chinchilla). Its description in RNAcentral is "WT1 antisense RNA conserved region 3 (ENSCLAG00000019821.1)". It matches the Rfam family "WT1 antisense RNA conserved region 3", at positions 26 to 245 of the family's 245-position model. The record is from RNAcentral. Lineage: Eukaryota; Metazoa; Chordata; Mammalia; Rodentia; Chinchillidae.